GCAUGAUAUUGGCUGACUGUAACCUCCACCUCCUGGGCUCAAGUGAUUCUCCAGCCUCAGUCUCCCAAGUAGCUGCAACUACAGCUCUGUGGCUACAUGGGUGUGAACUGGAACGAGGCAGAAGGGAUCUAUUUUUCUAUUUAGUGCCAAUGAGCCCCCAUGGAUCUACGCAGUGUGCUUUGUGCAGAUGAAGCUGUAUGUACAACAGAGUGAGCUUUGUGACGCCCUCUGCACAGGAGCAGUAUCCGUGAGACAAAAGAGUGGGACUCUGUCACCAUGAUCACAGAUGAAGGAUGCCGGGACACUCUGUCAAAGGAGACUCAGAACUCCAUAUAGGACGCUUGACUAAGAUCCCAGGUACUGUCACCAUGACUGUCACCCACAAUUUUCCCAGGAGGGAGACACCAGUAGGAAAGAGAACAGCCCCUGUGAUGUCAGGGCCAACCUGUCUCCAGCCUCCGUUCUGCUAAGUAACUCUAGAAGUUCCUCUCCUGUCUCUGGCCCAACUGACCAUGUGUCAGAUGCCUGGGAAAAAGGAACACAGACUUGAUGAUGAUUCCUGGUUCUGAGCUCAUGUCGCUGUGCUCCCAGGCUGUUGACACAGGCAGGACCCCUGGGCUUCUUGGAUUCAAGCACACAGUUAAUAACACAAACCCUGACAGCCUAGGCUUGAGCUGGGGUUCGUUGGGGGUGGGUGGCAGUGGUAGGGGAAUAACUUAGGAAAGUUAUUUAAGCUGCCUGGGUCUGAAUUUCCUUGUCAUAAAAUAGGGGAAAUAGUUGUACUUACAUGGCACAUCUGUGAUGUGAAUUAAAUAUCUGGCACCUACAACAGUGCCUGGCCCCCAGGAUUUGGUGUGUGAAGAGUCCAGGUAUUGGUACGAGUCCAUGUCCACUGUCUUCCCUGAUCCCCAAACCCAGGUGCACCCAUUAGUAACUAAAAUGAGGCAGACAAAAGGGAUGAGUGAUGAGCGGCAGUGGUUGCCAGAGGUAGGUCCAGGGACUAUAUUUCUUAAGACAUUCUGGGUCAGGAAUAAUUACAUAGAAUGGAGCCAAUAAUUCCAAAUCCAUGUAUUUAGUUAAUAAGCUUUUAUUUAGGGCAUGCAGGUGCCAAAUUUUGUCCCAGGCACUUACAUAUAUUUAAUCAUUUAGUCUCCUCACAACCCAUGAGAAAUAAACAUACUGUACUAUCAUUAUCUACAAAGAAACAUGGAAUAAGACCCUAGAGAGAGCCUCCAGCAAAAGGGUGUCUGUGAUCAUUGUACAUUUUUCAAAACAUGUUCAAUGACAAAAAAACCAGCUUUAUAAAGUGCAUGUUGAACUGUGAUAUAACUAGCAGUGCAUCUAAGAGUGAAACAAUGAACAUUAAAAAUGAAAGGAUCCUUG
Molecule: long non-coding RNA, 1383 nt
Filed under: Homo sapiens (human)
Lineage: Eukaryota; Metazoa; Chordata; Mammalia; Primates; Hominidae
Description: HSALNT0353692
Source: RNAcentral